This 744-nucleotide ribosomal RNA is filed under the name Atlantibacter hermannii. RNAcentral describes it as "bacterial SSU rRNA". It matches the Rfam family "Bacterial small subunit ribosomal RNA", at positions 47 to 780 of the family's 1533-position model. The record is from RNAcentral. Lineage: Bacteria; Pseudomonadati; Pseudomonadota; Gammaproteobacteria; Enterobacterales; Enterobacteriaceae.
CCUAACACAUGCAAGUCGAACGGUAACAGGAAGCAGCUUGCUGCUUUGCUGACGAGUGGCGGACGGGUGAGUAAUGUCUGGGAAACUGCCUGAUGGAGGGGGAUAACUACUGGAAACGGUAGCUAAUACCGCAUAACGUCGCAAGACCAAAGAGGGGGACCUUCGGGCCUCUUGCCAUCAGAUGUGCCCAGAUGGGAUUAGCUAGUAGGUGGGGUAACGGCUCACCUAGGCGACGAUCCCUAGCUGGUCUGAGAGGAUGACCAGCCACACUGGAACUGAGACACGGUCCAGACUCCUACGGGAGGCAGCAGUGGGGAAUAUUGCACAAUGGGCGCAAGCCUGAUGCAGCCAUGCCGCGUGUAUGAAGAAGGCCUUCGGGUUGUAAAGUACUUUCAGCGGGGAGGAAGGCGAUGCGGUUAAUAACCGUGUCGAUUGACGUUACCCGCAGAAGAAGCACCGGCUAACUCCGUGCCAGCAGCCGCGGUAAUACGGAGGGUGCAAGCGUUAAUCGGAAUUACUGGGCGUAAAGCGCACGCAGGCGGUCUGUCAAGUCGGAUGUGAAAUCCCCGGGCUCAACCUGGGAACUGCAUCCGAAACUGGCAGGCUUGAGUCUCGUAGAGGGGGGUAGAAUUCCAGGUGUAGCGGUGAAAUGCGUAGAGAUCUGGAGGAAUACCGGUGGCGAAGGCGGCCCCCUGGACGAAGACUGACGCUCAGGUGCGAAAGCGUGGGGAGCAAACAGGAUUA